This 422-nucleotide ribosomal RNA is filed under the name uncultured soil bacterium. RNAcentral's name for it is "bacterial SSU rRNA". It matches the Rfam family "Bacterial small subunit ribosomal RNA", at positions 26 to 447 of the family's 1533-position model. The record is from RNAcentral.
AAAGUGAACGCUGGCGGUAGGCCUAACACAUGCAAGUCGAACGGCAGCACAGUCCCGCAAGGGAUGGGUGGCGAGUGGCGGACGGGUGAGGAAUACAUCGGAAUCUACCUUUUCGUGGGGGAUAACGUAGGGAAACUUACGCUAAUACCGCAUAAGACCUUCGGGUGAAAGCCGGGGACCUUCGGGCCUGGCACGGAUAGAUGAGCCGAUGUCGGAUUAGCUUGUUGGGCGGGUAAAAGCCCACCAAGGCGACGAUCCGUAGCUGGUCUGAGAGGAUGAUCAGCCACACUGGAACUGAGACACGGUCCAGACUCCUACGGGAGCAGCAGUGGGGAAUAUUGGACAAGUGGGCGCAAGCCUGAUCCAGCCAUACCGCGUGGUGAAGAAGGCCUUGGGUUAGUAAACGCCCUUUUGGUAGGAAA